GGGGCCAUGGCGCAACGGUAGCGCGUCUGAUUCCAGCCAGGGUGCAAAUCCGCGGCUCCAGAAGGUUGAGUGUUCAAGUCACUCUGGCCUCA
This is a transfer RNA of Phlebiopsis gigantea 11061_1 CR5-6, 92 nucleotides long. It matches the Rfam family "tRNA". From Rfam's summary of the family: Transfer RNA (tRNA) molecules are approximately 80 nucleotides in length. Their secondary structure includes four short double-helical elements and three loops (D, anti-codon, and T loops). Lineage: Eukaryota; Fungi; Basidiomycota; Agaricomycetes; Polyporales; Phanerochaetaceae. The record is from Rfam.